GGUAAAAUGGCUGAUAAUAGGCAAUAAAUUGUAAAUUUAUUCAUGAAAUUUAGAUUUCUUUUACCA
This 66-nucleotide transfer RNA is filed under the name Brachyta interrogationis. RNAcentral describes it as "tRNA-Tyr". Lineage: Eukaryota; Metazoa; Arthropoda; Insecta; Coleoptera; Cerambycidae. The record is from RNAcentral.